RNAcentral lists this long non-coding RNA (326 nucleotides) under Mus spicilegus (steppe mouse). Its description in RNAcentral is "lncRNA (ENSMSIG00000031607.1)". Lineage: Eukaryota; Metazoa; Chordata; Mammalia; Rodentia; Muridae. The record is from RNAcentral.
CAGAUUCAUGUGAAAAUGCUUUGGGGUGAGACCGUAGCAGAGGCCAACAGAAGUCAUUCAGUCGUCUCCUUACAUACCACUCAGCUCUGGUGUAUUUCCACUGAAGUGAUGUAGCGUUCUGAUCAGAAGUGCAGCCAGCGGCUCUCGUCCUCCAAGCCCAAGAAGUUUUGGGGGGCUGCAGAGAUGAUUGGUCCCAGUUACAAAGGGACAUUCACGGUCACUCUCCAGGACCUUCUUGAGUAACAGUGUUUGACUGGAACCAUAUACUGUGAACUCUCCAAGGUAAAAUAAUUAAAAUGAUUUUAAUAGACACCAGGAAGCCAAGA